GGACGGCGGGUGCUAUACUGCAAGUCGAGCGGAGAUAGUGGAGCUUGCUCCAUUAUCUUAGCGGCGGACGGGUGAGUAACACGUGGGCAACCUGCCCUGCAGAUCGGGAUAACUCCGGGAAACCGGUGCUAAUACCGAAUAGUUUGCGGCCUCUCAUGAGGCUGCACGGAAAGACGGUUUCGGCUGUCACUGCAGGAUGGGCCCGCGGCGCAUUAGCUAGUUGGUGAGGUAACGGCUCACCAAGGCCACGAUGCGUAGCCGACCUGAGAGGGUGAUCGGCCACACUGGGACUGAGACACGGCCCAGACUCCUACGGGAGGCAGCAGUAGGGAAUCUUCCGCAAUGGACGAAAGUCUGACGGAGCAACGCCGCGUGAGUGAAGAAGGUUUUCGGAUCGUAAAACUCUGUUGUGAGGGAAGAACAAGUACCAACUAACUACUGGUACCUUGACGGUACCUCACCAGAAAGCCACGGCUAACUACGUGCCAGCAGCCGCGGUAAAAA
This 504-nucleotide ribosomal RNA is filed under the name Planococcus sp. CrO5. Its description in RNAcentral is "bacterial SSU rRNA". It matches the Rfam family "Bacterial small subunit ribosomal RNA", at positions 38 to 526 of the family's 1533-position model. Lineage: Bacteria; Bacillati; Bacillota; Bacilli; Caryophanales; Caryophanaceae. The record is from RNAcentral.